UCUCCCUGCUCCAAAUCACUGCUCAUCUUCUGAAGUAGGCUGUAAUCACCUCACAGAUGGAAAUAAAAAUCUUUACUGGGCUCUGUCCUAUGUUAUCUUCCAGGCAUCUCGUAAAUGAAAACCUAACUUGUUAUCAGGCGCCCAGCUGCUAUCUGAGUAAUAGGGAACCAUCUGGAGUCCACAGGGAGCAGCACAUCCCAAUGAACUGGAGAAUGUUCACAAGUUAGAGAUUAAAUUCUCACCAAUCAGGGGGAUCUGCCUCGCCAGUGUCCAAAGGAGUGUGAACUACAAUACAAUGUCUUCUCAAAAGGAGAAGUCUUGAAAGCUGGAAAGUCCAAGAUUAUGGUGCUGGAGGAUUCAGUGUCUGGUGAAGACCCUCUUCUGAGCUGUAGACUGCUGACUUCUCUCUGUGCCCUCUCUGUGAAAGGAGUGCUGUUGUUAUUUUGAGACAAGAGCAGACAACAUAACCUUUUAGGAAAGCUUGCAGGUCUGGCCUUCAGCAACAGGGAGAUUGGGUUUAGUCCCAAACCUACCACUUUCGAGUCUUCAACCUCUAAUCAACUUUGAAAUGGAUGAGACUGUCAGAUGCUAAGAUUUGAAUCACAUGCUGCUGUGGUGAGG
Molecule: long non-coding RNA, 621 nt
Organism: Lagenorhynchus albirostris (white-beaked dolphin)
Lineage: Eukaryota; Metazoa; Chordata; Mammalia; Artiodactyla; Delphinidae
Exons: 5
Source: RefSeq, a predicted model, not a curated record